This 443-nucleotide ribosomal RNA is filed under the name uncultured Hyphomicrobium sp. RNAcentral describes it as "bacterial SSU rRNA". It matches the Rfam family "Bacterial small subunit ribosomal RNA", at positions 337 to 797 of the family's 1533-position model. Lineage: Bacteria; Pseudomonadati; Pseudomonadota; Alphaproteobacteria; Hyphomicrobiales; Hyphomicrobiaceae. The record is from RNAcentral.
GCCUACGGGGGGCUGCAGUGGGGAAUAUUGGACAAUGGGCGCAAGCCUGAUCCAGCCAUGCCGCGUGAGUGACGAAGGCCUUAGGGUUGUAAAGCUCUUUUGGCGGGGACGAUAAUGACGGUACCCGCAGAAUAAGCUCCGGCUAACUUCGUGCCAGCAGCCGCGGUAAUACGAAGGGAGCUAGCGUUGUUCGGAAUCACUGGGCGUAAAGCGCACGUAGGCGGAUUUGUUAGUCAGGGGUGAAAUCCCGGGGCUCAACCGCGGAACUGCCUUUGAUACUGCAAGUCUCGAGUCCGGAAGAGGUGGGUGGAAUUCCUAGUGUAGAGGUGAAAUUCGUAGAUAUUAGGAAGAACACCGGUGGCGAAGGCGGCCCACUGGUCCGGUACUGACGCUGAGGUGCGAAAGCGUGGGGAGCAAACAGGAUUAGAUACCCCAGUAGUCCG